This 486-nucleotide ribosomal RNA is filed under the name uncultured bacterium. RNAcentral's name for it is "bacterial SSU rRNA". It matches the Rfam family "Bacterial small subunit ribosomal RNA", at positions 28 to 526 of the family's 1533-position model. The record is from RNAcentral.
GACGAACGCUGGCGGCGUGCUUAACACAUGCAAGUCACGGGGGCUCGCAAGGGCAACCGGCGAACGGGUGCGUAACACGUGAGCAAUCUGCCGAUUUGAGGGGGAUAGCCGGCCCAACGGCCGGGUAAUACCGCAUACGCUUGAGGAGAGGAGUCUCUUUUCAAGGAAACCUCCGGGGCAAAUCGAGGAGCUCGCGGCCUAUCAGCUAGUUGGCGGGGUAACGGCCCACCAAGGCGACGACGGGUAGCUGGUCUGAGAGGAUGGCCAGCCACAUUGGGACUGAGAGACGGCCCAGACUCCUACGGGAGGCAGCAGUGGGGAAUCUUGCGCAAUGGCCGAAAGGCUGACGCAGCGACGCCGCGUGUGGGAUGAAGCAUUUCGGUGUGUAAACCACUGUUGCCCGGGACGAACAGCUUCUUUCGAGGAGCCUGACGGUACCGGGUGAGGAAGCACCGGCUAACUCCGUGCCAGCAGCCGCCGUAAAAC